GCUGGGGAUGGGCUAAGGCUAAUACCUACCUCUGCAAAUUAAAAAUUUUGCCUGUCAGUCUCAGAAUACAUCCCUCAAGCUCCUCAAGUCGUGUGGACUACGCUGUAAGCAUCUAAAAGAUAGUAGAGACAUAAGGGAUCAUAGUCAGAUCUGGAUCAGCCUGAGAUGUCAUCUUCUGAGUAAAAUCUAAGGUGGCAAACUGCUGGGAUAAGAUAGAAGCAACGUACUGAAAAAUCAACUGAAUAUGAUCAUCUGCAAGUCUG
RNAcentral lists this long non-coding RNA (263 nucleotides) under Elaeis guineensis (African oil palm). RNAcentral describes it as "long non-coding RNA (EGUI_LNC059633)". Lineage: Eukaryota; Viridiplantae; Streptophyta; Magnoliopsida; Arecales; Arecaceae. The record is from RNAcentral.